UACGUAGGGGGCAAGCGUUAUCCGGAUUUACUGGGUGUAAAGGGAGCGUAGACGGUUAUGUAAGUCUGGAGUGAAAGCCCGGGGCCCAACCCCGGGACUGCUUUGGAAACUGUGUAACUGGAGUACAGGAGGGGCAGGCGGAAUUCCUGGUGUAGCGGUGAAAUGCGUAGAUAUCAGGAGGAACACCGGCGGCGAAGGCGGCCUGCUGGACUGAAACUGACGUUGAGGCUCGAAAGCGUGGGGAGCAA
This 248-nucleotide ribosomal RNA is filed under the name uncultured Lachnospiraceae bacterium. RNAcentral's name for it is "partial 16S ribosomal RNA". It matches the Rfam family "Bacterial small subunit ribosomal RNA", at positions 524 to 771 of the family's 1533-position model. The record is from RNAcentral. Lineage: Bacteria; Bacillati; Bacillota; Clostridia; Lachnospirales; Lachnospiraceae.